GCAGCGGCAGCAGGAGGGGUUAGGGGUGCCGAGAGGGAGGAGGAGGCGGUGAGGAGGGGCGGAAUUUCGAGAGGGCGUAACGUUAGGGGGCUUACCGGAGGAUGUGGGCGGGCUUGGGGCGGUUGGGAUCAUCGGGCCGGGGCAGCCGCGGCGGCGAGAUGGGCAGCGAGUGGUACCGGCUGGAGCGCGGCGGGCUCUAGGGCGCCAGGGGCCAGAGGGGGCUGCGCGGCCGCGGUAGCCUGCUGCACGACGACGCGCGGGGGCCGCGCGUCGAGGUGGAGCAGCUGGCGGCGGCGUCGGUGGGCGACCGGCGGCCGCUCGAGAGGGAGGUGGCGUAGGCGCGGCCGCUGUGGAGGGACCGGCGGUAGCGCCGCGAGCCGGGGCAGGUCACCGGCGAGCGGGCGCUGCAGCGGCGGCAGUUCGAGCUGGGCGCGGUGAUGAGGAAGAGGAAGCGGCAGGGGCGGAGGGGGCUGCUGGGCCGGGGGCUGGGCGAGGUGAUGCCGGAGUGCGAGAGGCAGGGGCUGGGCGCGGAGCUGCGGGACGAGCCGCGGAUGUGGUCCAAGAGGCGGGUGAGGCACCGGCCGUCGCUCCCCGAGCGGCCGCCCCAGGCGCCGCUCCAGCUCCGGCGGCGCAUGACCUGGCGGCAGCGCGGGUUGCAGCUCCUCAUGCCGUCGCGGCACCGGUCCCGGUAGCGCAGGCCGCGGCUCUUGCACCGGUUCCCCUAGGACACCACGCCCCACUACUGGCAGCUGGCCGAGGCCACCCCCGUCCUCCACGAGUCCUUCUCCUAGGUCGGGCCGCUAUGGCUCCGGCUCCAGUCGGGCCUCUACGAGGCCGCCUAGUUUUCCCGAUUCUUCCACUGUUUUUACAGUCUCUUUCAUCGUUGACCUUAUGACAGACCUCAACACUUCCAAUGAUCGAUACAAUGUUCGAGUAACCAAUUGAGUUUUCGACCGUUCUUCAAAAAGUCGGAUAACGGACCUCUCCAACAAGAACGAAGCGAACUACCUAAACCGUUCUAAAGACUGCGACAUCUUCACCGACCCUUCCUACACGAUAGUUGUAGCAGUUGCCACUGUUGGCCAGACCAUAGAGUGUUCAUGCCUCUCUUUCGACGACGCCGCUGGUUGCUUCCCGAGCUACGCCGUCCGGUACGGUAGCCUUGCCGCACCCGGCACAAGUUCGAGGCCGUUCGUAACUUGGGCUUCUCACAGAACUUUGGGUGCAGCGAGCGGUUCAGAUGGCAGUUCCGACCUCGGCGCCUUGAGGCCCGCUUCUCGUCGUCGUUCUCGUUCAUCCCAAGCUUCAGCUCGGCCAGCACAGUCCCUAGACUGGUAGUCUUCAAACGUAGAGGGCGGUCAGGGUCAACUACAUGGCAGAACAAACAUCUAUACACGUGACCUUUUCCUCUUGAUGGACGGACAGUACAGAAAGGGAGCCGACUACGCAAAGAGUCACCUCAUAGACAACGAACCAAAAGCAAUACACGAGACAGUCAGCUACUUUACCUCAACUCCUGUUCGUGUUGUUGCUCGAAUUUCGCAAACUCCCGACGCCACCCUACAGGUUCCUCAACACACGAUAUCAUUGCCUGAAACAGUCUGCCACGAGCUGCCGCAACCACUAGGUCGUACCGCUAGAAGUUCCCGUCGGGCUGGAUCGAUCCAGUGGUCUCUUCUCCCUCAGCCACGGUCGUACCGGUAGAAGUUGCCGUGGGGCUGGAUCGAUCCAGUGGUCUCUUCUCCCUCAGCCACGGUCGUACCGGUAGAAGUUGCCGUGGGGCUGGAUCGAUCCAGUGGUCUCUUCUCCCUCAGCCACGUACCAGGACUGCUGUAGCCUGAAUCUGGAUAACACAUCGCUGUACCCACAAAAAAUCCAAAGAAAAUCACUCAGAAGUAUCAAAACAAACCUUGGCGCUCCGCUGUGACAAGACCACAUCCUUAAUAGAAGAGGAGUGGAAAAGAGCAAGAAAACCACACGAAUAAUGGCCGCCUCCCGUACACCUCGGCACAAAGUUUGCCCAGAAGGUCCUAGACCAGCCGAAUCCAAAGACCUCCUAGGUAUACCUAAGCCGUUCGUAAACACCAGAAGCCUCAAAGAUUUCCGGAAAUAGCCACAAAGAAGAAACCCCCGCCGCUUAGCGAAGCGUUUAGGGCCUGCAGCCCGUAUAACAUCCUAUCUCUGUGGGGGUAGGUGCUCUACAACACGGUAGCGGGAUGGACUAGCAGGAGGAACCAAGAUGGUUAUUCCUAACGGUUGUAUAGACGUGGUUAUAAUUUUUCCUAUCCUCUGUUACCUAGAGAGACACCGUUAGGGAAAAUACAGAUCUUUAUUACUGGCUGUAGUAUUAAAUAGAACUGUGGUUGUGACAGAGGAACGUGCUUCCGGAGCUGAACGAAGGCGGUUACUCUGAGCUUCGGGAAGUACGCGUCUCGAACAACGUCUUGACUGGUGAAUUGAAAUAGCAUGUGGAAGAGUUUAGGUGUAACUUCUACUGAGGUGUGUUAAAGAAGCUUACCUAAAGCACAUUUUAAAGUACGUCUUGGUGUUGUGGGAGUUCGUACACCGCGGGUACGUACUUUCGUCAAACUCAGUCGAAUUGGUGUAAUACGCGUUAGACACAUGCUACUAAACACGGGUG
RNAcentral lists this ribosomal RNA (2641 nucleotides) under Triticum aestivum (bread wheat). Its description in RNAcentral is "partial small subunit ribosomal RNA". The record is from RNAcentral. Lineage: Eukaryota; Viridiplantae; Streptophyta; Magnoliopsida; Poales; Poaceae.